RNAcentral lists this ribosomal RNA (297 nucleotides) under uncultured bacterium. RNAcentral describes it as "partial 16S ribosomal RNA". It matches the Rfam family "Bacterial small subunit ribosomal RNA", at positions 28 to 334 of the family's 1533-position model. The record is from RNAcentral.
GAUGAACGCUGGCGGCGUGCCUAAUACAUGCAAGUCGAACGCGAGCAGCAAUGCUCGAGUGGCGAACGGGUGAGUAAUACAUAAGUAACCUGCCCUAGACAGGGGGAUAACUGCUGGAAACGGCAGCUAAUACCGCAUAAGACCACAGCACCGCAUGGUGCAGGGGUAAAAACUCCGGUGGUAUGAGAUGGAUCCGCGUCUGAUUAGCUAGUUGGUAAGGUAACGGCUUACCAAGGCAACGAUCAGUAGCCGACCUGAGAGGGUGACCGGCCACAUUGGGACUGAGACACGGCCCAA